GAUGAACGCUGGCGGCGUGCCUAAUACAUGCAAGUCGAGCGAACGGACGAGAAGCUUGCUUCUCUGAUGUUAGCGGCGGACGGGUGAGUAACACGUGGAUAACCUACCUAUAAGACUGGGAUAACUUCGGGAAACCGGCGCUAAUACCGGAUGAUAUUUUGAACCGCAUGGUUCAAAAGUGAAAGACGGUCUUGCUGUCACUUAUAGAUGGAUCCGGGCUGCAUUAGCUAGUUGGUAAGGUAACGGCUUACCAAGGCAACUAUGCAUAGCCGAGCUGAGAGAGUGAUCGGCGACACUGGAACUGGAACGCGGUCCAGACUCCUACGGGAGGCAGCAGUAGCGAAUCUUCCGCAAUGGGCGAAAGCCUGACGGAACAACGCCGCGUGAGUGAUGAAGGUCUUCGGAUCGUAAAACUCUGUUAUGAGGGAAGAACAUAUGUGUAAGUAAAUGUGCACAUCUUGACGGUACCUAAUCAGAAAGCAACGGCUAACUACGUG
Molecule: ribosomal RNA, 497 nt
Filed under: uncultured bacterium
Lineage: Bacteria
Description: partial 16S ribosomal RNA
Rfam family: Bacterial small subunit ribosomal RNA
Source: RNAcentral